ACCGCGACCCCAGGUCAGGCGGGACUGCCC
Molecule: ribosomal RNA, 30 nt
Filed under: Veronica biloba
Lineage: Eukaryota; Viridiplantae; Streptophyta; Magnoliopsida; Lamiales; Plantaginaceae
Description: partial 26S ribosomal RNA
Source: RNAcentral